Molecule: ribosomal RNA, 507 nt
Filed under: uncultured bacterium
Lineage: Bacteria
Description: bacterial SSU rRNA
Rfam family: Bacterial small subunit ribosomal RNA
Source: RNAcentral
UGGCGGCAGGCCUAACACAUGCAAGUCGAGCGGAUGAAAGGGGCUUGCUCCUGGAUUCAGCGGCGGACGGGUGAGUAAUGCGCAGGAAUCUACUAGUAGUGGGGAUAACGUUUCGAAAGGAACGCUAAUACCGCAUACGUUCUGAGGAAGAAAGCAGGGGAUCGUAAGACCUUGCGCUAUUAGAUGAGCUUGCGUCCGAUUAGCUAGUUGGUGGGGUAAAAGGCCUACCAAGGCGACGAUCGGUAACUGGUCUGAGAGGAUGAUCAGUCACACUGGAACUGAGACACGGUCCAGACUCCUACGGGAGGCAGCAGUGGGGAAUAUUGGACAAUGGGGGCAACCCUGAUCCAGCCAUGCCGCGUGUGUGAAGAAGGCCUUCGGGUUGUAAAGCACUUUAAGCGGGGAGGAAGGCCUGAUGGCUAAUAUCCAUCGGGAUUGACGUUACCCGCAGAAUAAGCACCGGCAAACUUCGUGCCAGCAGCCGCGGUAAUACGAAGGGUGCGAGCG